Molecule: non-coding RNA, 232 nt
Organism: Callorhinus ursinus (northern fur seal)
Lineage: Eukaryota; Metazoa; Chordata; Mammalia; Carnivora; Otariidae
Source: RefSeq, a predicted model, not a curated record
GACAUGAAGGUUCAGAGGCUGUUGUUCUGGCUGCUCUUGCUCCGGUGUCCCAGUUCCCCAAACCCAAAUCUUGUCCGUGUUGUGCCUGACUAUUUCCCUCUUGGCCCUGAUGGGGUUGGCGUUCUAUGGAAACUUCCAGUUAUCACUGCCUCCUUGGGAAUUUGUCUGUUUCUCCUUUAUAUCUGGAGAACCAUCCUCGCUUUCAAACAUAAUUGUCAAACAGUGUAAUAUG